AUGAUCCACUUCACUACAAUAAUAAUUUGAUAAAAAAAUGUAUUUCAUAAUCUACAAUGCCUAAGGAAAAUAGAUUUUAGUUAUCGAUCAGUCUUUAACAGAAUUACACGUAAAUAGUGGCGGCAGAAUUAUACAGAAAAAUUAUAUUGUGAGUUUGUGAGUAAACGAAAUUUAUCAUAAUGAAAUAUAAUGAACUCGGUACUACGGGAAUCAAGGUCUCCCAUAUCAGUUUAGGAGGAGCGGCAUUCGCCAAUAUAUAUGGAACCUAUGAUGAAAACAGAAGCUUGCAAUUAAUUAAGGAGUCUCUCAAACGUGGUAUAAACUAUGUGGAAACUGGCCCAUGGUAUGGUCAAGGUAGUUCUGAGCGGACUUUUGGAAAGGCGCUCCAAGGUGUCCCCAGAGAGACAUAUUUCAUUGGCAGUAAAGUUGGACGAUAUGAAAAGGAGACCGAUAAAAUGUUCGACUUUAGUGCCGAGAAAACAGAAGCGAGUGUGGACAACACGCUGAAUCUGCUUGGAUUGGAUUACGUCGACUUAAUUCAGGUUCACGAUCCGACAUUUGCUCCAGAUACUUCGAUAAUAUUGAAGGAAACAUUGCCAGCAUUGGAAAAAGCCGUAAGAGAUGGCAAAGCUAGAUAUAUAGGUAUAGCUGAUUACGAUAUCGAUCUAAUGCAAAUGAUAGUUGAGGAAUCCGACGUGAAUAUAUCUACAGUGCUGUCGUAUGCGAAGUCGACGCUGAUAGACAAUCGGCUACAGAAUUACACUAAAUACUUUAAGAGCAAAGGAGUGGGAGUAAUCAAUGCUGCAGCAACUGGCAUGGGGUUACUUUCCAAUAAAGGACCCCAACCGUGGCAUCCAGCCAAUGAUGACAUUAAAGCUGUCUGCAAAAAAGCAUCAGAUUACUGUAAGGCACAGAAUGUGGAAUUAGCACGCAUUGCGACUUGGUACUCUCUCAAUCAACCAGAUAUUGACACUAACAUUUGCGGUUUCUUCAAUGUGGAACAACUGGUCGACAGUAUAGAAGUAUUGGACGGCGGAUUGACUGAUCUCGAGAAGAAAGUGUUGGCCGAAUUGCAAGUUAGCUGGCCUUUACAGCUCACCGGACGAUAGAGGGCGAGUGCAGAUGUUCAAAGUUCAUGUGGAAGGACUUAUGGAGCGGAUGAAGUCAACUCCCGCCUGACGGAUACGACUUUAGUCUGAGGGCACCACUAGGAGUUCGAACCUCGGCUCAGAUUCUUCGACAAAGUUACGUUCCACUGGGACGGAGUGGAGCUGCCAGUAUACAGAGCUAAACUCAAGGAAA
RNA transcript from Achroia grisella, 1302 nucleotides. RefSeq lists it as uncharacterized. Lineage: Eukaryota; Metazoa; Arthropoda; Insecta; Lepidoptera; Pyralidae. The record is from RefSeq and is a predicted model, not a curated record. The transcript has 8 exons.